AGAGUUUGAUCCUGGCUCAGGAUGAACGCUAGCGGGAGGCUUAACACAUGCAAGUCGAGGGGUAAUCCCGAUUUAUCGGGAACGACCGGCGCACGGGUGAGUAACGCGUAUGCAACCUACCUUUUACAGAGGAAUAGCCCAGAGAAAUUUGGAUUAAUACCUCAUAGCACUGUCAAUUCGCAUGAUUUGACAGUUAAAGUUUCGGCGGUAAAAGAUGGGUAUGCGUGACAUUAGAUAGUUGGCGGGGUAACGGCCCACCAAGUCAGCGAUGUCUAGGGGUUCUGAGAGGAUGAUCCCCCACACUGGUACUGAGACACGGACCAGACUCCUACGGGAGGCAGCAGUGAGGAAUAUUGGUCAAUGGACGCAAGUCUGAACCAGCCAUCCCGCGUGAAGGAUGACGGUCCUAUGGAUUGUAAACUUCUUUUAUGUACCAAGAAUGUGCCCUACGUGUAGGGUUUUGACGGUAGUACAUGAAUAAGCAUCGGCUAACUCCGUGCCAGCAGCCGCGGUAAUACGUAGGAUGCGAGCGUUAUCCGGAUUCAUUGGGUUUAAAGGGUGCGUAGGCGGCUUAUUAAGUCAGUGGUGAAAUCCUGCGGCUCAACCGUAGAACUGCCAUUGAAACUGAUAAGCUUGAAUAUAGUUGAGGUAGGCGGAAUGAGUAGUGUAGCGGUGAAAUGCUUAGAGAUUACUCAGAACACCGAUUGCGAAGGCAGCUUACUAAACUAAUAUUGACGCUGAGGCACGAAAGCGUGGGGAGCGAACAGGAUUAGAUACCCUGGUAGUCCACGCCGUAAACGAUGUUCACUCGCUGCUUGCGAUACAUAGUAAGUGGCCAAGCGAAAGCAUUAAGUGAACCACCUGGGGAGUACGUCGGCAACGGUGAAACUCAAAGGAAUUGACGGGGGCCCGCACAAGCGGAGGAACAUGUGGUUUAAUUCGAUGAUACGCGAGGAACCUUACCUGGGCUUAAAUGUAGAUUGCAUGUGGUGGAAACACCCUUCUCUUCGGAGCUAUCUACAAGGUGCUGCAUGGUUGUCGUCAGCUCGUGCCGUGAGGUGUCGGGUUCAGUCCCAUAACGAGCGCAACCCCUAUCGUUAGUUGCCAUCAGGUUAAGCUGGGGACUCUAACGAGACUGCCACCGUAAGGUGAGAGGAAGGUGGGGAUGACGUCAAAUCAGCACGGCCCUUAUGUCCAGGGCUACACACGUGUUACAAUGGCAGGUACAAAGGGCAGCUACACCGCGAGGUGAUGCUAAUCUCGAAAGCCUGUCUCAGUUCGGAUCGGAGUCUGCAACUCGACUCCGUGAAGUUGGAUUCGCUAGUAAUCGCGUAUCAGCAAUGACGCGGUGAAUACGUUCCCGGGCCUUGUACACACCGCCCGUCAAACCAUGGAAGCUGGGGGGACCUGAAGUCUGUCACCGUAAGGAGCGGCCUAGGGUAAAACCGGUAACUGGGGUUAAGUCU
Molecule: ribosomal RNA, 1466 nt
Filed under: metagenome
Description: bacterial SSU rRNA
Rfam family: Bacterial small subunit ribosomal RNA
Source: RNAcentral